This is a long non-coding RNA of Columba livia (rock pigeon), 3273 nucleotides long. RefSeq lists it as uncharacterized. Lineage: Eukaryota; Metazoa; Chordata; Aves; Columbiformes; Columbidae. The transcript has 3 exons. The record is from RefSeq and is a predicted model, not a curated record.
GCCCGGGGACUCCUAUAGCAUCCUAUAGGGCUCCCGGCAGCGCCCCUUCCCCUAUAGCCCCUAUACCUCCAUCCCCUAUAGACCCACCCCCCAUAGUCCCUAUAGCCCCAUCCCCUUUAGCCCCUAUACCUCCAUCCCCUAUAGACUCACCUCCCAUAGCCCCUAUAGCCCCAUCCCCUAUAGCCCCUAUACCUCCAUCCCCUAUAGCCCCACCCCCUAUAGCCCCACCCCCUAUAGCUCCAUCACCUAUAGCCCCUAUAUCUCUCUCCCCUAUAGUCCCUAUAUCUCCAUCCCCUAUAGACCCAGCCCAUAUAGCCCCUAUAGCUCCAUCCCCUAUAGCCCCUUCCCCUAUAGGUCCGAUAGCCCCAUCCCCUAUAGCUCCAUCCCCUAUAGCUCCUCUCCCCUAUAGAUCCCCCCCCGCCUCCAUUCCCCUAUAGACCCUACUCCUACAGAGCUCCUUCUCCUAUAGGGGCUCCCCCUAUACCCCCCGGGACACUCCUCUAUAGGCACCUUCACCCCGUCCCCUAUAGGGCAGCCCCCUAUAGCCCCUAUAGGAUGACCCUUCCUACAUCGGAGCCCCAUAGGUUGGCCCUAUAGGUCCCUAUAGGGGGGUCCGGCAGAGGCUGAGCCCCUAAAGCCCCCGACUCCUAUAGAUCAGACCCAUAGGGGGCCUAGAGCUCCACCCCCUAUAAGCCCCUAUAGCCCCUAUAGACCCCUAAGCCUCCUAUAGCCCCCUAUAAAGCUCACUAUAGAUUCCCCUGUAACGCCAAAUAGAUCUCCCUAUGGAACCCCAUAGUCCCCCCCGCCCCCUAUAGAUCCCCCUAUAGGUGCUCCUAUAGCCCCCUAUAGAUCCCCCUAUAGCCCCCUAUAGAUUCACGUAUAGAUCCCCCCUUGCCCCCUAUAAAUCCCCCCAUAGCCUCUUAUAGCUCCCUAUAGAUCCCCCUAUAGCUCCCCCUAGGGAUCCCUCUAUAGAUCUCCCUAUAGAUCACUCUACAGCCCACUGUAGAUCUGCCUAUAGAUCCGCCUAUAGACCCCCUAUAGCUCCCCCUAUAGAUCUGCCUAUAAAUUCCCCCAUAGACCCCCUCGCCCCCUAUAGAUCCCCCUAUAUAGCCCCAUAAGGCCCCUCUAGCCCCUAUAUCCCCGAUAGAUCCCCCUAUAGAUCCCCCUAUAGAUCCCCCUAUAGCCCCUAUAGCCCCUAUAUACCCUAUACCCCCCUAUAGCGCUUAUAAGUCCUCUAGCCCCCUAAGGCCCCUAUAGCCCCUAUAUCCCCUAUAGAUCCACCUAUAGAUCCCCCUAUAGCCCCUAUAGAUCCUCCUAUAGCCCCCUAAGGCCCCUAUAUCCCCUAUAGCCACCUAAGGCCACUAGAGCCUCUAAGGCCCCUCUAGCCCCUAUAUCCCCUCUAGCUCCCCCUAUAGAUCUCCCUAUAGCCCCUAUAGAUCCUCCUGUAGCCCCUCUAGCCCCUCUAGCUCCCCCUAUAGAUCCCCCUAUAGCCCCUGUAGAUCCUCCUCUAGCCCCCUAAGGCCCGUAUAGCCCACAUAUCCCUUAUAGCUCCCCCUAUAGAUCCCCCUAUAGCCCCUAUAGCUUCCCCUAUAGAUCCCCCUAUAGCCCCUAUAGAUCCUUCCUGUAGCCCCCUAAGGCCCGUAUAGCCCCUCUAGCUCCCCCUAUAGAUCCCCCUAUAGAUCCUCCUCUAGCCCCCUAAGGCCCGUGUAGCCCCUAUAUCUCUUAUAGCCCCCCCUAUAGAUCCCCCUAUAGCCCCUAUAGCUUCCCCUAUAGAUCCCCCAUAGCCCCUAUAGACCCUUAUAGCUCCCCCUAUAGAUCCCCCUAUAGUCCCUAUAGAUCUUCCUCUAGCCCCCUAAGGCCCGUAUAGCCCCUAUAUCCCUUAUAGCUCCCCCUAUAGAUCCCCCUAUAGCCCCUGUAGAUCCUCCUCUAGCCCCCUAAGGCCCGUAUAGCCCCUAUAUCCCUUAUAGCCCCCCCUAUAGCCCCUAUAGAUCCUUCCUGUAGCCCCCUAAGGCCCGUAUAGCCCCUCUAGCUCGCCCUAUAGAUCCCCCAUAGAUCCUCCUCUAACCCCCUAAGGCCCAUAUAGCCCCUAUAUCCCUUAUAGCCCCCCCCAUAGAUCCCCCUAUAGCCCCUAUAGCUUCCCCUAUAGAUCCCCCUAUAGCCCCUAUAGCCCCUAUAGACCCUUAUAGCUCCCCCUAUAGAUCCCCCUAUAGCCCCUAUAGAUCCUCCUCUAGCCCCUAAGGCCCGUCUAGCCCCUAUAUCCCUUAUAGCUCCCCCUAUAGAUCCCCCUAUAGCCCCUAUAGAUCCUCCUCUAGCCCCAUAAGGCCCCUCUAGCCCCUCUAGCUCCCCCUAUAGAUCCCCCUAUAGAUCCUCCUCUAGCCCCCUAAGGCCCGUCUAGCCCCUAUAUCCCUUAUAGCCCCCCCUAUAGAUCCCCCUAUAGCCCCUAUAGCUUCCCCUAUAGAUCCCCCUAUAGCCCCUAUAGACCCUUAUAGCUCCCCCUAUAGAUCCCCCUAUAGUCCCUAUAGAUCCUCCUCUAGCCCCCUAAGGCCCGUGUAGCCCCUAUAUCCCUUAUAGCUCCCCCUAUAGAUCCCCCUAUAGAUCCCCCUAUAGCCCCUGUAGAUCCUCCUGUAGCCCCCUAAGGCCCCUCUAGCUCCCCCUAUAGAUCCCCCUAUAGAUCCUCCUGUAGCCCCCUAAGGCCCCUCUAGCUCCCCCUAUAGAUCCAUAGGAUGCAGUUCCUGCGGCACCGCCUGUCGGACGGGAAUUUCCUGGCGGGGGGAGGGGCGGGGGGGAAACCCCCCCCCAGCGGCCCCGCCCCCCCCCCCUGCUGCUCGUCAUCGGCCCCCCCGACACCGACUGGGUGCAGCUCUUCAGUGGCAAAUCCGUCCAUGGGGACGUGGAGCUGCGCGUCGAGCAGGGCCCUUUGCAGCAGAGAAAUCAUGAUGGCAACAACUGCAGUCAUGGCAGAAACCAGCCCUGCAACCAAGAGAAGAGCCCUGGUAGCUGUCCCCUCUCUGCACCAGAGCUGAUGUCCAUGAGGCCCCACAGCGAGGAGGACCAGGCUCACAAAGCCUUUUCUGGGGGGAUAACAGGAUGGUUUCAACCACUGCAGCGUGGAGAAAAUCCCCAGUGUGACCAGAGCCAUAGGCUGCGCUGGACAGUGCCAACAGACCGCCAUGGAAAUAAGACUCGCUUUGAAUCCAUUCCCAAAGCACAGCCAGGCAAAUGAUGACUCUUCCCAAAUGAGCAAAAAGAGUCCAUUGCUGCUACUGCAGUCAU